Molecule: ribosomal RNA, 259 nt
Filed under: uncultured bacterium
Lineage: Bacteria
Description: partial 16S ribosomal RNA
Rfam family: Bacterial small subunit ribosomal RNA
Source: RNAcentral
GUCCACGCCGUAAACGGUGGAUGCUGGAUGUGGGCCCGUUCCACGGGUUCCGUGUCGGAGCUAACGCGUUAAGCAUCCCGCCUGGGGAGUACGGCCGCAAGGCUAAACUCAAGAAUUGACGGGGCCCGCACAAGCGGCGGAGCAUGCGGAUUAAUUCGAUGCAACGCGAAGAACCUUACCUGGGCUUGACAUGUUCCCGACGGUCGUAGAGAUACGGCUUCCCUUCGGGGCGGGUUCACAGGUGGUGCAUGGUCGUCGU